CGUAAUCGGCUGCUAAACGCGGGCAAUGGCGUGAGUUUGAGGCGGGGCGCGGAGUGUUUGAGAAACAUGUUUGAAAACAGUCGUAAUUGUUUGACGCUAGUGAAGAGAAAUCGCGCUCUUCAUUUUCAAGAAGGUCUCUGGUAAAGAAGGGGUUUCUGGGGAACAGACUCUUCACAAAGAUAAGCCACCCCACCACUGGAACCAUCACUCUUUCACUGAAAUAAAGUUGUACAGGAAUGGCAUGAGGAUGAGAGUAUUCCACCACAAUCUACAGCAAACAUGCAUUCGGAUCUGGCUGUCUACAUCACAAAAUUACAUCACACGGACUAUUUGCGAGCUGAAGAAGAAUGCGGACAAGGGAAGUAUACUUUGGUCUUAACUCAAAUUAAAUAAAGAACACAUUUAACAAGUAGUUGGACAACCCCAUGGUUUAAUAUUUUUACACAGCCUGCUGAGGAGGCGUGCCUCGAAAGAGACAUGGAAACAGAUUGUAACUUGGCAAGUGCAAACAACAACAACAGCAGCAGCAGGCAUCACUGUAGCCCGGGGCCUCAUCUGUCCGACUGAAUACUGUUGCUUUUUUUUUUUUUUCAUUCUUCCGCUCUCUCCCAUUUCUUCUCCUCUGCCACCUCAACUUUCAGCCCUUCAUGUCACGGAGCUCCGCCUGACUGACGUCUCUCCUCAGGAUGGCUGACACCAAACAGGAGCUGGAUUCACUUCCUGAGGCAGUCAAGAGGAACUUGGCUCAACCCUGCUGCGGCACAUCUCUAGUUAUAUUACAACUGGAGUUUAGAUAAAGGCUUUGUGAAAGAUUUCACAAAGAAUACUCUGCGAACAAGCAUUUACUCAAACUUUUCACUACAGAAUGCAGCCAUUAUUAACCAUCGGCAUCUGGGGGGGAAAAGA
Long non-coding RNA from Sinocyclocheilus anshuiensis, 906 nucleotides. RefSeq lists it as uncharacterized. The record is from RefSeq and is a predicted model, not a curated record. NCBI's taxonomy places the organism in Eukaryota, Metazoa, Chordata, Actinopteri, Cypriniformes, Cyprinidae. The transcript is spliced from 4 exons.